RNAcentral lists this ribosomal RNA (346 nucleotides) under uncultured fungus. Its description in RNAcentral is "SSU rRNA". It matches the Rfam family "Eukaryotic small subunit ribosomal RNA", at positions 21 to 369 of the family's 1831-position model. The record is from RNAcentral. Lineage: Eukaryota; Fungi.
UGUAGUCAUAUGCUUGUCUCAAAGAUUAAGCCAUGCAUGUCUAAGUAUAAGCAACUAUACGGUGAAACUGCGAAUGGCUCAUUAAAUCAGUUAUCGUUUAUUUGAUAGUACCUUACUACAUGGAUAACCGUGGUAAUUCUAGAGCUAAUACAUGCUAAAAACCUCGACUUCGGAAGGGGUGUAUUUAUUAGAUAAAAAACCAACGCCCUUCGGGGCUCCUUGGUGAAUCAUAAUAACUUAACGAAUCGCAUGGCCUUGCGCCGGCGAUGGUUCAUUCAAAUUUCUGCCCUAUCAACUUUCGAUGGUAGGAUAGUGGCCUACCAUGGUGGCAACGGGUAACGGGGAA